This 63-nucleotide transfer RNA is filed under the name Rhabdoblatta densimaculata. RNAcentral describes it as "tRNA-Arg". Lineage: Eukaryota; Metazoa; Arthropoda; Insecta; Blattodea; Blaberidae. The record is from RNAcentral.
GAAUAUGAAGCAAAUUGCAAUUAGUUUCGACCUAAUAAAUUGAUAUUAAUUUAUCCUUAUUCU